AACGCACAUUGCGCUCUUUGGUAUUCCGGAGAGCAUGCCUGUUUGAGAAUCAGUAAAUUCAUCAACUGCUUCAUUGCGGUUGGAUAUGGGCGCUUUGAGACUUCACAGUCUCAAUAGCCUGAAUUUCAAUGUUACGCUUCCUUGAACCAACAGUUCUAGGGCAUACGCAUGAAUGAGGCAACUCACAAGUACGUUUGUCGUCAAGGGCUGUCAGUUUGCUUGGAGUGUGUAACUCAACCAUUACCCAGAGUUGGCUGACGUCAGUCGGCCUUCCCUGAACACUUGGUCUCAAAUCAGGUAGGAAAACCCGCUGAACUUAA
This 320-nucleotide unclassified non-coding RNA is filed under the name uncultured Rhizophlyctis. RNAcentral's name for it is "sequence contains ITS2". The record is from RNAcentral. Lineage: Eukaryota; Fungi; Chytridiomycota; Chytridiomycetes; Spizellomycetales; Spizellomycetaceae.